AUAAACACUGAAUGUUAAUUACUAUCCAAAUUGUGAUUGGCAAAUUCUAGCCAGGGUAUAAAAACUAAGACUAAGAGAGAGAGGAAUCUUCAUUUUCCAUAUACGAAUUCAAGAGAUUGUUGAGCUUUUAAUGGGAAACAGCAUGGAUAUCAUUUAUCAACUUGAGAAAAAUUCAAGAAGACGGAGCUAAAAGAGUUAAAAUGGUGGCCUUUCAGGAAUGAAACCUGAUGGUGACACAGAGUAGUGCUGUUCUUAUUAAAAAUCUUUCCAAAAGUAUUCAACUUUUAAAAUGUUUAUGUGUAGAAUUUUCAAUAUAAAAUUAUAUUUUAAUUAAAAAAAUAGUGGUUAGGUGCUGAAGAAGCGGAGAUUGCAAAUGUAGCACAAUUGCAGCAAGACUUAAGUUACCAGGGGCAGAGGAAAGACAAUUGAGGAACUGUUACUACAUUUAGCAUUGAGGGGAAGGACAGUUUUCAUAUGGGAGGAGCUCGAAUAGGUUUAUAGGCUACAGAGAACGAGUCGGUAGAAAGGAAGAGUUUGAAAAUAAGGCAAAAACAAAACAAAACAAAAAAACUUACAAGAUAAAACAUGUAUUUGGAAUCACUGGAAAAGACUGAGGUUGCUGCUAAUUUAUGUUCUUUUUCUUCAUCAAGGAUUCCUAGUGCCUUUUCCUCCUCAAAUUUAAUGGCCUACUCAGCAGCCCAUGUGCAGAAGUUAUGAAGUGGGGCUGUUUAUCUGUUGGUGAAGAGUUUUCAGAGAAGAUCAUGGUGUUGGGUUGCUGAUAUGGAAUGAAUAAGAACAGAUGAGGAGGGACUUAAGAAGGGAGGUAGACAUUACUGAACGUAGAAGAAUUUGAUACACACAGGGAAAAUUCCUAUACAGAGGGAGAUUUGAAGAGGGCUCUUCUCACUGCUUUAUGAGGUGCUUCCGUGGG
This 931-nucleotide long non-coding RNA is filed under the name Homo sapiens (human). RNAcentral describes it as "HSALNT0191865". Lineage: Eukaryota; Metazoa; Chordata; Mammalia; Primates; Hominidae. The record is from RNAcentral.